CGUUCCCCAGACGGCCGGCCUUUGGAGAUUGUUAUUCGCCAAUUCUCCUCGUCUCUACGGCCAGCUGGUUUCUUUAGUGAGUGCAGCUGUGGGCCAUUUUAGCAGCUCGGGAGUAAACUACACUUGGUAAUGGCCAGGACGCAGCUGGAUGCAACGCGGUUCACAGUAUCACGAUCACAGAUUGUUUUACAGCGGGUGCCUGGCAGAGGCGAAGCUACAGGCGUGCUUCUUGUGCCAGAGGGGAGUUUCUUUUCUCUCAUAGGAUAGUUAUUUUCUUCUUUUCUUUUUGGUUUUUUAAGUUCUCUUUCAGAAUCAGUGGUGGCAUCGCAGGUUCGAUCCCUACACUUGCUUUAGCACCUUCGUUUUGCAGCUCUGAUCUUCUGAACGUGCCACAGUCUGCUACCGCCGCACAGGAAUGUGUAAACAACACUCUUACCGAUUUGACCUGCUUGGAUUGAUACAUAUCUCAUAUCUCUGGGAGGCGUCCAGGAGGCUGCAGUGGUACUAUAACCACGUGAAAGGAGUCUCGAAAUGAUUGUAAGAACAAACAAGCUUGGCAUGCUCGAGUAAAAGAGCGAAGGAAAUAUGCUUCCAUGAUGACCACAGAAUGUAAGUUACAUUACACUACAUGGUGGCGGUACUCAACUCCAACCUCGAGUAAGAUCAUGUUUGUUUGAAAUAGUUUCAUUUUUCUCGUAUCGGAAGAACUUUUUUGUUUUUAGUAGCAGCAGACAACAAGAAAUUACUGGGAGCCACUACGGAAAGCUGAAAACUUUCCUGUAGAGUGUCCGUGUCCUCAUGCGAUGAUGGCCUCCACCGCUUCUCGGGAAUGUAAGAAAAGAAAAAAACCAACUUUCGAGGCGGAAUCUGUAGAAUCGUGGAAACGUAAGGAAUCGGAACACGAACGCUGACCGAAAGCGAGACAUUUUAACCAGGAGCAUUCCAGUCCUGGAGAAGCGAACAAGUCUCCACGGGACAGCGAGACAGGGGAGAGCUGGUCAGAGAAAUGGUUUCCCGUGAAUCCGAAUGUUGACUAAAACUCCAGAAUCUCGUCACUUAUGCAUUGGUGAGUGACGCUAGCAGGGGCCACUGGAAUCGAUCUCUCUUUCCGGAUUCAAAGAAAACGGCUCGCUCCGGGACCUUCGCAACUUCACCAACUUAGUGAGUCCUUACUUUACUUCCCUACUAAUGAGCUCGAUUCAUUCCGCAGGCGAGAGAAUGCUUUCCUGCCUGGAAAACUUCACGAGGAACUGGAAAAAACCAGUGUGGCUUUGAUUUUCUAACGAGCCACUUCAACACAGCCUUAAAUGCGGACGUUAACGAAGAUGAUAGGCUUCCAGACAAAUGUUUUCCAAUCGCUGAGCCCAAGAGGUGGCCGAACGGCAUCGUUGAAACCGAUGGGAAACGACGAGCGGUCCAGUUGCAAAGGAAAAGCUUGACCCGUGGAUGGUGUCCCUUCAACCGUUCGCAUAGGAUACUACGUGGAACUCGGGCACUCGACAUUUGGAUUCCAGCUCAAGCCUAUGAGCGCGCACCGGCAGCUCGCGGGGGACGAUGAACUAGGCUGAUGUCUGAGUGCGAUACUUUAUUCCUGAUAACCUGGGAGGGACCCUACUACUUUUUGGCAGCAGCACGUACUUAGGACGCUGAUGAAGAGCACCUUCCCUUCGGCUGUCGUCGAUCAUGUUCUCUGGUCCACACUGUUCAAGGUACUUAUUCUUACUAGUCUGGGAAAGAGAGGGAGAGAUUUCGUCCACUUCUCUCGUGAGUCGUGAAAGCAGCCGUCGUCAUAUCGGUCCUGAACCUGUGCCAUUUAUUCCCGCGAACAAGUGUCUGCAUGACCCUCUUGACGAGCAGCGGCAUCGUUGCUAAUAGUCAACAUCGUCGUCGAAUCUUUGUUUUCCUUUGCUUGCCUUAUACUUUAUGAUCUCUUCCUUGUUGUUUCUUCUUGCUCAUUGACGUCUUGCCUCACUAGCAACUUCCAGCUUUCCUUUUUGUC
Selaginella moellendorffii is the source of this 1999-nucleotide long non-coding RNA. RefSeq lists it as uncharacterized. The transcript has 6 exons. Lineage: Eukaryota; Viridiplantae; Streptophyta; Lycopodiopsida; Selaginellales; Selaginellaceae. The record is from RefSeq and is a predicted model, not a curated record.